GAGGUGGGAGAAUUGCUUAAGUCUGGGAGGUUGAGGCUUCAGUGAACUGUGAUCAUACCACUGCACUCCAGCCUGGGAGACAGAGUUAGACCCUAUCUC
Cebus imitator (Panamanian white-faced capuchin) is the source of this 99-nucleotide microRNA precursor. NCBI's taxonomy places the organism in Eukaryota, Metazoa, Chordata, Mammalia, Primates, Cebidae. The record is from Ensembl.